GACGAACGCUGGCGGCGUGCCUAAUACAUGCAAGUUGAGCGCUGAAGGUUGGUACUUGUACCAACUGGAUGAGCAGCGAACGGGCGAGUAACGCGUGGGGAAUCUGCCUUUGAGCGGGGGACAACAUUUGGAAACGAAUGCUAAUACCGCAUAAAAACUUUAAACACAAGUUUUAAGUUUGAAAGAUGCAAUUGCAUCACUCAAAGAUGAUCCCGCGUUGUAUUAGCUAGUUGGUGAGGUAAAGGCUCACCAAGGCGAUGAUACAUAGCCGACCUGAGAGGGUGAUCGGCCACAUUGGGACUGAGACACGGCCCAAACUCCUACGGGAGGCAGCAGUAGGGAAUCUUCGGCAAUGGACGAAAGUCUGACCGAGCAACGCCGUGUGAGUGAAGAAGGUUUUCGGAUCGUAAAACUCUGUUGGUAGAGAAGAACGUUGGUGAGAGUGGAAAGCUCAUCAAGUGACGGUAACUACCCAGAAAGGGACGGCUAACUACGUG
Molecule: ribosomal RNA, 497 nt
Filed under: uncultured bacterium
Lineage: Bacteria
Description: partial 16S ribosomal RNA
Rfam family: Bacterial small subunit ribosomal RNA
Source: RNAcentral